This 85-nucleotide transfer RNA is filed under the name Acidimicrobiia bacterium. RNAcentral's name for it is "tRNA-Ser". It matches the Rfam family "tRNA". Rfam says of the family: Transfer RNA (tRNA) molecules are approximately 80 nucleotides in length. Their secondary structure includes four short double-helical elements and three loops (D, anti-codon, and T loops). Further hydrogen bonds mediate the characteristic L-shaped molecular structure. tRNAs have two regions of fundamental functional importance: the anti-codon, which is responsible for specific mRNA codon recognition, and the 3' end, to which the tRNAs corresponding amino acid is attached (by aminoacyl-tRNA synthetases). tRNAs cope with the degeneracy of the genetic code in two manners: having more than one tRNA (with a specific anti-codon) for a particular amino acid; and 'wobble' base-pairing, i.e. permitting non-standard base-pairing at the 3rd anti-codon position. The record is from RNAcentral. RNAcentral also lists the same sequence under 2 other names. Lineage: Bacteria; Bacillati; Actinomycetota; Acidimicrobiia.
GGAGGGAUGCGAGAGCGGCCGAAUCGGCACGCCUGGAGAGCGUGUGUCCCGCAAGGGACCGUGGGUUCAAAUCCCACUCCCUCCG